AGUGAACGCUGGCGGUAGGCUUAACACAUGCAAGUUGAACGGCAGCACAGGAGCGCUUGCUCUCCGGGUGGUGAGAGGCGGACGGAUGAGGAAUAUAUCGGUAUCUGUCCAGUCGUGGGGGAUAAUGUUGGGAAACUUAUGCUAAUACCGCAUCCGACUUUCGGUUGUACGGGGGGGAUCGCAAGACCUGUCGUGGUUGGAUGUGCCGACGUCGGAUUAGCUAGUUGGCGGGGUAAUGGCCGACCAAGGCGUCGUUCUGUAGCUGGUCUGAGUGGUUUAUCGGCCACACUGGAGCUGGUACACGGUCCAGACUCCUACGGGAGGAGGCAGUGAGUAAUAUUGGACAAUGUGCGCAAGCCUAAUCCAGCCAUACCGCUUGGAUGAAGAAGGCCUUCGAGUUGAAGAGCCCUUUUGUUGAGAAAGAAGUCUUACAUGCUAAUACCCUGGGAGGAUGACGGUACCCUAAGAAUAAGCACCGGCUAACUACGUG
Molecule: ribosomal RNA, 490 nt
Filed under: uncultured bacterium
Lineage: Bacteria
Description: partial 16S ribosomal RNA
Rfam family: Bacterial small subunit ribosomal RNA
Source: RNAcentral